RNAcentral lists this ribosomal RNA (253 nucleotides) under uncultured bacterium. Its description in RNAcentral is "partial 16S ribosomal RNA". It matches the Rfam family "Bacterial small subunit ribosomal RNA", at positions 524 to 776 of the family's 1533-position model. The record is from RNAcentral.
GACGGAGGAUCCAAGCGUUGUCCGGAUUUACUGGGUUUAAAGGGUGCGUAGGCGGAUGACUAAGUCAGUGGUGAAAGCCUGUAGCUUAACUACAGAAGUGCCACUGAAACUGGUUGUCUUGAGUACGGUUGAGGUUGUUGGAAUGCAUCAUGUAGCGGUGAAAUGCUUAGAUAUGAUACAGAACACCAAUUGCGAAGGCAGACAACUAAGCCGUAACUGACGCUGAGGCACGAAAGCGUGGGGAGCAAACAGG